RNAcentral lists this ribosomal RNA (253 nucleotides) under uncultured bacterium. Its description in RNAcentral is "partial 16S ribosomal RNA". It matches the Rfam family "Bacterial small subunit ribosomal RNA", at positions 524 to 776 of the family's 1533-position model. The record is from RNAcentral.
UACGUAGGCAGCGAGCGUUGUUCGGAGUUACUGGGCGUAAAGGGUGUGUAGGCGGUUCUCUAAGUUUGGUGUGAAAUCUCCCGGCUCAACCGGGAGGGUGCGCCGAAAACUGGAGGGCUAGAGUGCGGGAAGGGAGAGUAGAAUUCCUGGUGUAGCGGUGAAAUGCGUAGAUAUCAGGAGGAAUACCGGUGGCGAAGGCGGGUCUCUGGGCCGAUACUGACGCUGAGGAGCGAAAGCGUGGGGAGCGAACAGG